UGUAUCUCCCUGUCGUUGUUUUUCUCACGUACAGCCGGCGUGGGUUAAAGUUAACUUUUAACUGACGUUACGCUGGUCAAGCAGAGGUCAGCUGAAACAGCGAGCUGUGAACAGGGAUCGGCUAUAAUAGUUAAAAAAUAAAAGUCAGCAGUCAUAGCUAACGUUUCAUGUGGCAAACGAUGGCAGAGAGAAACAGAUUCAGCUGCACUUCUGGAGUCUCAAGUGAACUUUGUUUUUCAGAUAAGGUUCUUGGCAUUGUUCAAUCUACUACAUAUAAAGAGAGUCAUAAAAGUUUUAUGAACCAUCGGAAAUUAUUAGGAAAUUAUCAAUCCGUCCCCAGAUCAUCUGAGGCGACAUUCCCUUCAUGGAAACUGCUUUAUCAUCAUACCAUAGUUCUCCUUGAUUCACGUCACAUAUUCAACACAACAUUACAUUAUGUGAUGUAUUAUACAUCACAUAAUGCUGAUGGGACGAACAACACUGGUGCGUCAGCGCUGUGCCGAGUGCACAAGUGUGAAACCCCGUAUUGGUGCGUGUAUCGCUUUAACAAAAAAGUCAUGUGACCGAUACAGGAAGUGUGUCGUUUGGAUGUGCAGCGCCAAAUUGUGUUUAUAAGGAAACAAACUGUAUCGACGUGUUGCGUGUUUGUUGGAUGGAGAUUAAACUGUUUGCUGUGCUGUUGGAUUUUUUGUUUUGCUUCCAGUUCUCGAAAAUUUUCACAAGUCUGGAAUAAUUUUGAUCUUUUGACGCCAAAUAAGGUGAAGUGUCGGCUCUGCUCAACUGAAUUGUCUUCAAUCAAUACACAUCAAUCACAUCAAUAAGAGCACGUCAUCAAUGCUGAGGCAUUAUAGAGCUCGGCAUGGCAGUGAAGCGUUGGCAGACACUCCUGCUGUGAGUACCCCAGUUCCUAACAAGCAAGCAUUGGAUGAGGCUGUGAUCAACAUGAUCAUCAAAGACUGUCAGCCGCUCACCCUUGUAGAAAAUGAGGGAUUCAGGGCGCUCAUGCAGCUUGUUGCACCCUCAUAUGUUCUACCAAGCAGGAAGACGGUCAAGGACUUGGUGGGCCAGAAAUAUGAGGAAGAAAAGGAGAAAACAAAAAAGGACCUCCAGAGCGCCGUUGCUGUUACUUUAACAGCUGACACGUGGACCUCGAUUAAUAUGGAGGCAUAUCUUGCUGUUACUUGCCACUAUGUGGACAAAGACAGCCAUGAAAAACGAUUUGUAUUGCCCAUUCCAUCAAUUUAAUUGUAACAAAAUCAUGUGAUCAAAUUACAACACUAACAGAAAUCCGCAACAAAACACAGCAAAUUGUCACAUACUUUCGAUCAAGCACCACGGCCAAAGAAAAGCUCACUCAAAUGCAGCAACAGCUGGGAACACCAUUCCAUAAAUUAAUAAAUGAGGUGCCAACACGAUGGAACAGCACCUACCACAGAAUUUGAAGUCAUUGAAGAGAUGCUCAGGGUGCUCUCUCCUUUUGACCAAGCCACAAGAGAACUCUGAGGAAAAAAAGAGUCUCGGGGUCAAAGGUUAUUCCAUUGAUGAGAAUGAUCCACAUUGAGCUUCAACAUCAAGCCUCAACAUUAACAAAACCAGCUGCUCAAGAACUGGCUGAAAAUCUGAGAAAGCGGCUAACUGAGUCCAUCUGCAACGUGGAAUCACUCAGUGUGAUGACACUGGCAACACUGUUGGACCCCGGGUUUAAAACAGUUGGCUUCUUUAGUCCACUAAAAGCAACAGAAGCUGUUAAGAGACUGAAGUCGGAGUGUGCUGCUGAAAUGAGCCAUGAGCCUGACCCAGCAGAAGAACAGAGCUCUUCACAUGGAUCAGAACCCAGUUCAGAUAUGGAAGUUGAGGAGAACAGGAUGACCUCGAAUACUACAGCAGAUUCCACAGUUGACGUCCAUCGCUACUUGGCUGAAAGCAACACACCCAAAACACAAGACCCGUUACAAUAUUGGAAAAAUAACCAGAAAACGUAUCCACACCUUUAUCAACUGGCACUUAAAUAUUUAUGCACACCAUCUUCAUCUGUUUCCUGUGAAUGAGUAUUUUCUAAGGCAGGGGAACUGGUGUCCAAGAGGAGAAAUCGCCUUGGAGCAAAGACACUUCAAAAACUUUUGUUCCUCAAUAAAAAUGUAUGAAUGAA
Long non-coding RNA from Scatophagus argus, 2149 nucleotides. RefSeq lists it as uncharacterized. The transcript has 5 exons. Lineage: Eukaryota; Metazoa; Chordata; Actinopteri; Scatophagidae. The record is from RefSeq and is a predicted model, not a curated record.